This 253-nucleotide ribosomal RNA is filed under the name uncultured bacterium. RNAcentral's name for it is "partial 16S ribosomal RNA". It matches the Rfam family "Bacterial small subunit ribosomal RNA", at positions 524 to 776 of the family's 1533-position model. The record is from RNAcentral.
UACGUAGGGUGCAAGCGUUAAUCGGAAUUACUGGGCGUAAAGCGUGCGCAGGCGGCUAUGCAAGACAGAUGUGAAAUCCCCGGGCUCAACCUGGGAACUGCAUUUGUGACUGCAUAGCUAGAGUACGGUAGAGGGGGAUGGAAUUCCGCGUGUAGCAGUGAAAUGCGUAGAUAUGCGGAGGAACACCGAUGGCGAAGGCAAUCCCCUGGACCUGUACUGACGCUCAUGCACGAAAGCGUGGGGAGCAAACAGG